Phascolarctos cinereus (koala) is the source of this 386-nucleotide long non-coding RNA. RefSeq lists it as uncharacterized. Lineage: Eukaryota; Metazoa; Chordata; Mammalia; Diprotodontia; Phascolarctidae. The record is from RefSeq and is a predicted model, not a curated record.
GGUUAACUGACUUUGCCCAGAGUGACAUAGCUGGGCUUAAGCAGAAAUUCCCUUUUUAUAAGCAACCUCUAUUUCCUCUUUGGUUCCUCAGUUGAUUCUCUUUGCGAUCUGUGUCCAUGUGGGUUUCCAGGUUUGAGCUGCUGAAUGAAGUCAUGGGAACCAGAAGAUUUAGGAGCUACAAGUCUAGGGAGACAUACAGACCCAUUCAGAUGGCUCCAAACACCAACUUUUUCAUACAUCUAUCAGCAGCUACAGAAAGAACUACUACUGUUUGGCAACACCUGUGGACUUAAAUUUUCCAGUUUUAGCUUUUGAGUAGCUUGCAAAUGAGUAGCAAGAAGCCCUUUCAUAUCACAAUGAAAAGAUAUUAAAAUGGUCCAAAAACA